GCUGGGUGCUUUGACAUACACCUGUAAUCCCAGCAGCUUGGGAGGCUGAAGCAGGAGAAUCACAAAUUCAAGGUCAACUUUAGCAACUUAGCAAGGCCUAAGUAACUUAGACAGACCCUGUCUCAA
This 126-nucleotide small RNA is filed under the name Marmota monax (woodchuck). The record is from RNAcentral. Lineage: Eukaryota; Metazoa; Chordata; Mammalia; Rodentia; Sciuridae.